This 681-nucleotide ribosomal RNA is filed under the name Triticum aestivum (bread wheat). RNAcentral describes it as "partial small subunit ribosomal RNA". The record is from RNAcentral. Lineage: Eukaryota; Viridiplantae; Streptophyta; Magnoliopsida; Poales; Poaceae.
GCUAGCUAUCAAGUGGUUCAAUUCUCUCAACAACUUCUACAGAAACUAGCUGUCGCCCCUUCAUCCGACAGUAAAUUUUCUCUUAAAAAUGGGCUGAUCUGCACUAAGGGAUGUCUCUGGGUGGGUGCAGAUGCUGGUUUGCACUCUAAAAUCAUCCAAGCUUUUCAUGAUUCUCCAUUGGGUGGGCACUCAGGUUUCCCUGUCACAUAUCGACGUAUUCGUCAGCUCUUUCGUUGGUCUCAUAUGAAAUCCAUCGUCAAGCAGUAUGUGCAGCAUUGCACUGUUCGUCAGCAAGCUAAACCCGAGCGAGUUCCGUAUCCUGGCCUUUUGCAACCCUUACCAAUACCAAGUCUACCAUGGGAAAUGGUCACAAUGGAUUUUAUAGAAGGCUUGCCAUCUUCAGGGCAUUUCAAUUGCAUCCUAGUGGUCAUUGAUAAGCUAUCAAAAUAUGGUCACUUCAUACCCUUGCAGCAUCCCUUCACGGCCUUGGUCGUGGCAGAGGCUUUUCUGAAUUUUGUCUACAAGCUGCAUGGUAUGCCCUUGUCCAUUGUCUCUGACCGUGACCGCAUUUUCACCAGUUUGUUUUGGAAAGAGCUGUUCCAACAAACACAAGGGACACAACUGCGAAUGAGCUCAGCCCGCCACCCACAAUCAAAUGGUCAAACCGAACGUGUAAAUUAG